This 953-nucleotide long non-coding RNA is filed under the name Gossypium barbadense (sea-island cotton). RNAcentral describes it as "long non-coding RNA (GBAR_LNC023296)". Lineage: Eukaryota; Viridiplantae; Streptophyta; Magnoliopsida; Malvales; Malvaceae. The record is from RNAcentral.
ACCUAAAGCAAAAAGAAGAAAAAAGACAAUCCCAGCAGCAAAAGGACCCAACAUUAUUCUAUCAUUUAACACCAACUCCUUCGAUCACAGCUACCGUACCAACUGCCCCAUGGGGAAUGAUCUGCAGAUAAAUACAUUACUUAAAAAACUUAUUUUUCUAUAAUAAAAUAAAUUUUAAUUCAUUAAAUUAUAAUAAAUAUAUAGCCUAUGGCUAUGAUUUAGCCAUUUUAAAUUUCAUUUUAUUAAACAGUAACUAUUCGUUAAAAUUUUUAUUGAGAGCCCAUGAAUUUUGAAUGAAUGAGUCUUGAGUAACUCUAGUCAUCCAUACAAUAACUUAAGGAAUAAGUGAAAAUAAGAUUUCCAAUGAACUAAUAUUGUUUUCUUUAUGGAAAACUCAUGAUUAAAUAUUGUCUCCUCUGGCGGAGCUAAGGGGACCACUCCCGGUUCCUUAAAUUAAAAAUUCUUUUAUUUAACUUUUUUUAUAAUUUAUAAAAUUAUAUCUCACCAAACAAUCAGGCUGUCGUCAAAGUAAAAAAACGAAAAGAUAGAAAUAAAAAUUCCUUAACAUUAUAUGCUUUAUAAAAAUGCUAGAAAGAGAAGAGAAAUGAACGUUUUUAACAUCAUACAUAUCGAAUAAUCUAGGGAAGUUGUAAAUCAACUUCGGCCUCCGCAGAGAUAGUAGCAAGAGGAUUUGAAGUGACAGUGGGACGGUUUCGUCGUUUGAUGCAAUCAAACACGAGCUUGAACAGAAAAAGAACGGAGAUGCCGGCAAGCUGGAUCAAUGCCAUGAUUUUGGUGUCACCUUCCAUGUUCAUAUCCCCAGAAAAACCCAACGAAAAUCUUGAUGAUGAAGAAUUCUUAGAAAAUUCCAUUGCUUUUCAGAGCUUAUUAGGUUAAGAAAGAAAUACGUGAAUCUCAGGGAAUAAUAAGAAGUCCUUGUUUUACCUAAGCAA